This 251-nucleotide ribosomal RNA is filed under the name uncultured prokaryote. RNAcentral describes it as "partial 16S rRNA". It matches the Rfam family "Bacterial small subunit ribosomal RNA", at positions 525 to 775 of the family's 1533-position model. The record is from RNAcentral.
ACGUAGGGUGCAAGCGUUAAUCGGAAUUACUGGGCGUAAAGCGUGCGCAGGCGGUUUUGUAAGCCAGAUGUGAAAUCCCCGAGCUUAACUUGGGAACUGCGUUUGGAACUGCAAGACUAGAGUGUGUCAGAGGGGGGUAGAAUUCCACGUGUAGCAGUGAAAUGCGUAGAGAUGUGGAGGAAUACCGAUGGCGAAGGCAGCCCCCUGGGAUAACACUGACGCUCAUGCACGAAAGCGUGGGGAGCAAACAG